GGUUUUACCUGCCCAAUGUUACGAUGAAUGGCCGCGGUACCCUGACCGUGCUAAGGUAGCGUAAUCAGUUGACCUUUAAAUGAGGUCAGGAAUGAAUGGAAUAACCGGGUUUAGCUGUCUCCAAACCAUUAUAUUGAAUUUACUAUCUAAGUGAAAAAGCUUAGGAUUUAAAAAAGGAGGAGAAGACCCUUAGAAUUUUUUUAAAAAGGAACAUAUUUUCCUUACAGUUUUAUUGGGGCGAUAAAGAAAUAAUUAAAACUUUCUUUUUUAACAAGCCGAUUGUAUUAAGUAAGAAUAAAUUACCUGAGGGAUAACAGCAUAAUUCUAUAACUGAGUUUGUGACCUCGAUGUUGGACUAGGAAACCAGUAGGCUAGCCGUUUACUGUGUUAGGUUCUGUUCGAACUUUUAUUCCU
This 414-nucleotide ribosomal RNA is filed under the name Spurilla neapolitana. RNAcentral describes it as "partial 16S ribosomal RNA". It matches the Rfam family "Archaeal large subunit ribosomal RNA", at positions 1943 to 2665 of the family's 2987-position model. Lineage: Eukaryota; Metazoa; Mollusca; Gastropoda; Nudibranchia; Aeolidiidae. The record is from RNAcentral.